Molecule: long non-coding RNA, 201 nt
Organism: Lepus europaeus (European hare)
Lineage: Eukaryota; Metazoa; Chordata; Mammalia; Lagomorpha; Leporidae
Exons: 3
Source: RefSeq, a predicted model, not a curated record
CCAGCAUGAAGGCAGAGGACAGGGCCUGCGUGGUGGAACACUGGAUCAAGGUGGCCAAGGAAUGCCUGGCUCUCCAGAAUUACUGCUGGUUCACAACAUCCUCUGCACUCUCAGAGUCACCCAGUACGCAAGCUGAAAACAACGUGGGGAGAAGUCUCCAGAAAAAGUGCCAGGAAAUUUCAACGUCUUUGCACACAGGAC